GAUGAACGCUGACAGAAUGCUUAACACAUGCAAGUCGAUGGGGAAGUGGUGCUUGCACCAUGGUAACCAUGGCGGACGGGUGAGUAACACGUAAGGAACUUACCUGCGGGACCGGGAUAACAGCAGGAAACUGCUGACAAGACCGGAUAAGGUCAUUAAGCUGCAUAGCUUAGUGAUGAAAGGAGACGCCUGCGGAGAGCCUUGCGUCCUAUUAGCUAGUUGGAGGGGUAACGGCCCACCAAGGCGAAGAUAGGUAGCCGGCCUGAGAGGGUGGACGGCCACAAGGGGACUGAGAUACGGCCCUUACGCCUACGGGAGGCAGCAGUGGGGAAUAUUGGACAAUGGGGGCAACCCUGAUCCAGCAAUUCUGUGUGCACGAAGACGGUUUUCGGAUUGUAAAGUGCUUUCAGCAGGGAAGAAGGAAGUGACGGUACCUGCAGAAGAAGCGACGGCUAAAUACGUG
Molecule: ribosomal RNA, 463 nt
Filed under: uncultured bacterium
Lineage: Bacteria
Description: partial 16S ribosomal RNA
Rfam family: Bacterial small subunit ribosomal RNA
Source: RNAcentral